This is a long non-coding RNA of Capsicum annuum, 1669 nucleotides long. RefSeq lists it as uncharacterized. The record is from RefSeq and is a predicted model, not a curated record. Lineage: Eukaryota; Viridiplantae; Streptophyta; Magnoliopsida; Solanales; Solanaceae. The transcript is spliced from 4 exons.
UUGGGGUCUUAACAAAAGCCCCACCAGUGCGCCAAAUUAGAGGGUUAAACACUACUAAGUAAAUCUCAAAUUAGAAAGUUUGGGUUUCCAAUCGUCGACUGCUCUAGAUCGAUUGACUGCUCUAAAUCGACUGGUCUUUAAAUCAGUGCUCCAGGCUCCAGGCUCCAGGAUCUAGUACGCAUCUCAAAAUUUACAAAAACUUUGGGUCUCUGAUCAAUCGACUACUUCAUAUAUUAAAUCAGUUCUCUGAUCGACUACUAUUCCAACUAUGAGUGCUUCGACCACCAUUUCUUUGACCACUUUUGAUUGAACCCUAGCCAUCUAUUGAAAUAGGCACAGAUAUUAGUCAUGGAUUAGCUUGUGGUCCUUCAGGAUCAAGAGCACCAUAUAGCAUUUUGGAUACCAGAUUCGAAGCGUUACAAAAAAGUACAAUGUAUCAUUAUUGAGUUCAUUUUCUAAUAUUUUUGUGAGUAUUACUACAUUGACAAACGGACAAGAAAAGGUACUAACAUCUGUUGCAAUAUAGUUAAUUCAACAUGGUUUUGUAGGAUUAAAUAUCAUUGCCUACUAUUUUAUUUCCCAUAUAAACACGGUGGUAGAUGAAGCUGCGACUCUACGAGCUCAUUAUUUCUACCUUAUUUGGUAAGUGCAUAACCUUGUUAGCAAACUAACAUAAAAACUCCUUAAAUCUGAGAUACCCUGAACUGAGGAACUAUUAACUACGUGGUUGUGCUUAUUUAGUUUGAAAAUAGGACCCAAAUAUGUAUUGGUUCAAACUAUAGGGCAUUAGUACUUGGCAGCCACACGUAAGAGUACGCCAAGAGAAACUAUGCCAAUAAUGAGUCUAAAUAUAGCACUGUUAUUAUCUCUCUUACUGCUCAGCAGAGGUACUAAUUUGAUUGAAUUAUUAUGGUUUGGGGAAUUGAUUUAUCUUAUUAUUAUUCCUGCGCCCCUCAUAUGUAUGUAUGAUUAUGAUUAGGCAUUACUUGUUGAGGGAUAUUUAUGAUGACAUGAUGCUUGAUGGAGUAAAUCCAGGGAGAGGUACGCAAUUGUUCGGGGUAUGAUUGUUGUUGGUCUUGGUCUGAAUAAAUUCUUCUAUGUUGGGUUUAAAACAACUCAUAAGAAUAAGGAACCUGUCACAAAUAAUGUAGCUUCCAAGAUUAUGGAGCUAGUUGAGCAAUCCAAGGGUUGGUCAGCAAUUGAAUCACCUAAUAACAUUCCUUUAAGAUCCAUAAUUGGCAUGACUGAAGAAGAACUUUACAAUGGGAAAAUGAUAAUUUGGGGUUGCUCUUUUGAAGUCUUUAUGGAGUGAAGAGCUUUAUUUACUUCCUUUUUAUUUUUGUUUCCUUGCUCAUUAUGUUAUUAUACAAGAAUUCCCAACCUCUUUAUUCUUUUUAUAGGUGUCCUUCCUAUGUUCUAAACUGAAAUUAAAUAUAUUGUCAUUUAAGUGCUAAUUAAUUGAAAUUAAUUUUUCUCUUUUUAUAGGUGUCAAAAAUCAUGAAGGAGAUGAUGAAAGAAGUGAUGAAGAAAUUGACAUGAUUUUUGAAUUGUUUAUAGAUGCUUUAAUAUCGAUCUUUUUGAUUUUGAAUUUCGUGAAACUUAUUGCCAUUCGAAUUUGAUACUAUGUGGGAAAACUAAUGAUGACAUUAACAUUUUGCUUUUGGGUUUA